This 440-nucleotide ribosomal RNA is filed under the name uncultured Pseudomonas sp. Its description in RNAcentral is "bacterial SSU rRNA". It matches the Rfam family "Bacterial small subunit ribosomal RNA", at positions 358 to 790 of the family's 1533-position model. The record is from RNAcentral. Lineage: Bacteria; Pseudomonadati; Pseudomonadota; Gammaproteobacteria; Pseudomonadales; Pseudomonadaceae.
GGAAUAUUGGACAAUGGGCGAAAGCCUGAUCCAGCCAUGCCGCGUGUGUGAAGAAGGUCUUCGGAUUGUAAAGCACUUUAAGUUGGGAGGAAGGGCAGUUACCUAAUACGUGAUUGUCUUGACGUUACCGACAGAAUAAGCACCGGCUAACUCUGUGCCAGCAGCCGCGGUAAUACAGAGGGUGCAAGCGUUAAUCGGAAUUACUGGGCGUAAAGCGCGCGUAGGUGGUUUGUUAAGUUGAAUGUGAAAUCCCCGGGCUCAACCUGGGAACUGCAUCCAAAACUGGCAAGCUAGAGUAUGGUAGAGGGUAGUGGAAUUUCCUGUGUAGCGGUGAAAUGCGUAGAUAUAGGAAGGAACACCAGUGGCGAAGGCGACUACCUGGACUGAUACUGACACUGAGGUGCGAAAGCGUGGGGAGCAAACAGGAUUAGAUACCCGAG